Molecule: non-coding RNA, 326 nt
Organism: Ailuropoda melanoleuca (giant panda)
Lineage: Eukaryota; Metazoa; Chordata; Mammalia; Carnivora; Ursidae
Source: Rfam
GGAUGUGAGGACAAUCUGUGACAUCUGUCAGCCCAUUGAUCGCCAGGGUUGAUUUGGCUGAUCUGGUUGCCUAGGUGGGUGUCCUCUUCCUCCCUCACAGCUCCAUGUGCAUCCCUCCCAAAGCUGCAUGCUGGGUUGAAGAGGAGGACCUUCCCCAAUAAGGGGGACUGUUCUUCAGUCAAGGGUGUACAAGCAGCUGCACUCCCCUGCUAGAACCUUGAAACAAGCACUCAAGGUUCAUUUGUAGGAGAAGGUAGAGUAGUCAAGCUUCCAAGACUUCAGACACAUCCAAAUAAGGCACUACAUGUGGCAGUCUGCCUUUAAAA